This 251-nucleotide ribosomal RNA is filed under the name uncultured bacterium. RNAcentral's name for it is "partial 16S ribosomal RNA". It matches the Rfam family "Bacterial small subunit ribosomal RNA", at positions 57 to 305 of the family's 1533-position model. The record is from RNAcentral.
GCAAGUCGAGGGGUAACAGGAGAGCUUGCUCUCGCUGACGACCGGCGCACGGGUGCGUAACGCGUAUGCAACCUACCUCUUACUGGAGGAUAGCCCUAAGAAAUUGGGAUUAAUACUCCAUAACAUUGCUUUUUCGCAUGAUUUAGCAAUUAAAGUUCCGGCGGUAAGAGAUGGGCAUGCGUGACAUUAGCUAGUUGGUAGGGUAACGGCUUACCAAGGCAACGAUCUAUAGCUGGUUUGAGAGGAUGAUC